UCCCCGUUCACCGGGGCAGUCCCCUCAGAGUGCCCGGCAUGACCCGGUAGCAACAGAGGGCGAGGGUUGCGCUCGUUGCGGGACUUAACCCAACAUCUCACGACACGAGCUGACGACAGCCAUGCACCACCUGUAUACGGCGCCGAAGCACACGGGCUUUCACCUGCUUUACCGUACAUGUCAAGCCUAGGUAAGGUUCUUCGCGUUGCAUCGAAUUAAGCCACAUGCUCCGCUGCUUGUGCGGGUCCCCGUCAAUUCCUUUGAGUUUUAGCCUUGCGGCCGUACUCCCCAGGCGGGGCACUUAAUGCGUUAGCUCCGGCACGGGAGGAGUCGACACCUCCCACACCUAGUGCCCAUCGUUUACGGCGUGGACUAC
Molecule: unclassified non-coding RNA, 376 nt
Filed under: uncultured Actinomycetes bacterium
Lineage: Bacteria; Bacillati; Actinomycetota; Actinomycetes
Description: uncultured actinobacterium contains 16S-23S intergenic spacer region
Source: RNAcentral